RNAcentral lists this ribosomal RNA (274 nucleotides) under uncultured bacterium. RNAcentral describes it as "partial 16S ribosomal RNA". It matches the Rfam family "Bacterial small subunit ribosomal RNA", at positions 523 to 796 of the family's 1533-position model. The record is from RNAcentral.
AUACGGAGGGUGCAAGCGUUACUCGGAAUCACUGGGCGUAAAGCGCGCGCAGGCGGCUAUUUAAGUUGGAUGUGAAAGCCUACGGCUCAACCGUAGAACUGCAUCCAAAACUAUUUAGCUAGAGUGUGGGAGAGGAAGAUGGAAUUAGUUGUGUAGGGGUAAAAUCCGUAGAGAUAACUAGGAAUACCAAAAGCGAAGGCAAUCUUCUGGAACACUACUGACGCUGAGGCGCGAAAGCGGGGGGAGCAAACGGAAUUAGAAACCCUAGUAGUCC